RNAcentral lists this ribosomal RNA (228 nucleotides) under uncultured bacterium. RNAcentral's name for it is "partial 16S ribosomal RNA". It matches the Rfam family "Bacterial small subunit ribosomal RNA", at positions 106 to 334 of the family's 1533-position model. The record is from RNAcentral.
AUGGGUAACACGUAUCCAACCUGCCGUCUACUCUUGGACAGCCUUCUGAAAGGAAGAUUAAUACAAGAUGGCAUCAUGAGUCCGCAUGUUCACAUGAUUAAAGGUAUUCCGGUAGACGAUGGGGAUGCGUUCCAUUAGAUAGUAGGCGGGGUAACGGCCCACCAAAGCGACGAUGGAUAGGGGUUCUGAGAGGAAGGUCCCCCACAUUGGAACUGAGACACGGUCCAA